GCUUCCUCCCUUUCCCCCACGGUCCCCACCCUCUUUUCCCGUCUUCAUUUUUCUCCUCCCCGCCGGCGCUUCCAGUGGCGAUUUCGGGCCGGCGGUCUUGUUCGGCGGCGAGCGGCCCUGAACUCGGAGCUGCGCGUGUGAGGCGCGCGUCGCGGGGUACCACACGAGGGGCGGCGCGGCUGGCGGCGUUUUUCUCCACGGCGACGAAGGGAGCACUCCGUGUGUUUUCUGCAGCUGAUAUCAUGAAUCCAAACGAAGACGAAGCACCUGGGGGAGCCCUUGAAGAAGAUAAAUCUGCAGAUUUAAUUCCUCAACGAGGAAGAUGAAAAUCACAGGGGGGCCAAAUUCUGCUAGCUGAAAAUGCAGGAGUAGUCGUUUCAGGGGUCAACAACUUGUUGCGGGUGCCCGAGAAUACUGGGAUCAGUGUAGGCGUCCUAGAGGCACAAGACAAGAGGCCCUAUAGGUCCCUCGUUUUAAUACAGGGGGCAUUGAGGAUGGCGAGCACAUUGAGCACGGCAGGCCACGUAUACUGUUCCGUUGGGUUAUCAAGCUAACAGGUGUCCAACACGGGGUUAUAGCAGCGUGCUACAACUCUUUACACUUUAUCUUGCCACAGUUUUCUCUCCAGCAACUAUGACUACGAGAUGGAUCUACUGGGUGUUUCUCUUUUUUAUUUAUUUGACUGUUGUUAGAUAAACAGUUUUGUGGGGGCACGGAUCUCUGUCCCUGUGAUUUCUACCAGUUUAGAAGCAACUUUGAUUAGGUUUUAUCUACUGGGUAGAUAAGCAAAUUUGUGGUGCAUGGAUCUCUGUGUCUGUGAUUUUUACAAAGCCUCAGGCCAUUUUUAUCAGCAAAAGUGGUUUUAUCUUCAUGUACUUGUACUGACUAGAGAAGUGCUAUGCUGAAAUACCAACAAAAUCAGGGUGGUUUGAGGACC
Molecule: long non-coding RNA, 937 nt
Organism: Brachypodium distachyon (stiff brome)
Lineage: Eukaryota; Viridiplantae; Streptophyta; Magnoliopsida; Poales; Poaceae
Exons: 5
Source: RefSeq, a predicted model, not a curated record